GACGAACGCUGGCGGCGUGCUUAACACAUGCAAGUCGAACGGAAAGGCCCUGCUUUUGUGGCGUGCUCGAGUGGCGAACGGGUGAGUAACACGUGAGUAACCUGCCCUUGACUUUGGGAUAACUUCAGGAAACUGGGGCUAAUACCGGAUAGGAGCUCCUGCUGCACGGUGGGGGUUGGAAAGUUUCGGCGGUUGGGGAUGGACUCGCGGCUUAUCAGCUUGUUGGUGAGGUAGUGGCUUACCAAGGCUUUGACGGGUAGCCGGCCUGAGAGGGUGACCGGCCACAUUGGGACUGAGAUACGGCCCAGACUCCUACGGGAGGCAGCAGUGGGGAAUAUUGCACAAUGGGCGGAAGCCUGAUGCAGCAACGCCGCGUGCGGGAUGACGGCCUUCGGGUUGUAAACCGCUUUCGCCUGUGACGAAGCGUGAUUGACGGUAAUGGGUAAAGAAGCACCGGCUAACUACGUG
Molecule: ribosomal RNA, 468 nt
Filed under: uncultured bacterium
Lineage: Bacteria
Description: partial 16S ribosomal RNA
Rfam family: Bacterial small subunit ribosomal RNA
Source: RNAcentral